Molecule: small nucleolar RNA, 120 nt
Filed under: Echinops telfairi (small Madagascar hedgehog)
Lineage: Eukaryota; Metazoa; Chordata; Mammalia; Afrosoricida; Tenrecidae
Description: Small nucleolar RNA SNORA61 (ENSETEG00000026600.1)
Source: RNAcentral
ACCCUCCAGAUUUCUUACCCCUUAGGUUUAAGUAUGGGUCUGAGUGGCUAAACAAGGAAGAAAGUAUAACUGAAGUGGUAUUGGAAUCUUUAAUCACAUACAAGUUCAUUUCAAGCAUAA